UGGGGAAUUUUGGACAAUGGGCGAAAGCCUGAUCCAGCAAUGCCGCGUGUGUGAAGAAGGCCUUCGGGUUGUAAAGCACUUUUGUCCGGAAAGAAAUCCUUGGCUCUAAUACAGUCGGGGGAUGACGGUACCGGAAGAAUAAGCACCGGCUAACUACGUGCCAGCAGCCGCGGUAAUACGUAGGGUGCAAGCGUUAAUCGGAAUUACUGGGCGUAAAGCGUGCGCAGGCGGUUUGCUAAGACCGAUGUGAAAUCCCCGGGCUCAACCUGGGAACUGCAUUGGUGACUGGCAGGCUAGAGUAUGGCAGAGGGGGGUAGAACUCCACGUGUAGCAGUGAAAUGCGUAGAGAUGUGGAGGAAUACCGAUGGCGAAGGCAGCCCCCUGGGCCAAUACUGACGCUCAUGCACGAAAGCGUGGGGAGCAAACAGGAUUAGAUACCCCUGGUAGUCCACGCCCUAAACGAUGUCAACUAGUUGUUGGGGAUUCAUUUCCUUAGUAACGUAGCUAACGCGUGAAGUUGACCGCCUGGGGAGUACGGUCGCAAGAUUAAAACUCAAAGGAAUUGACGGGGUCAUAGCUGUUUCCU
This 586-nucleotide ribosomal RNA is filed under the name uncultured bacterium. RNAcentral describes it as "partial 16S ribosomal RNA". It matches the Rfam family "Bacterial small subunit ribosomal RNA", at positions 355 to 1375 of the family's 1533-position model. The record is from RNAcentral.